RNAcentral lists this transfer RNA (82 nucleotides) under Acholeplasmatales bacterium. RNAcentral describes it as "tRNA-Leu". It matches the Rfam family "tRNA". Rfam says of the family: Transfer RNA (tRNA) molecules are approximately 80 nucleotides in length. Lineage: Bacteria; Bacillati; Mycoplasmatota; Mollicutes; Acholeplasmatales. The record is from RNAcentral.
GCGGGUAUGGCGAAAUUGGCAGACGCACUAGACUUAGGAUCUAGCGCCUUACGGCGUGCAGGUUCGACUCCUGUUACCCGCA